GGAAUUUUGGACAAUGGGCGAAAGCCUGAUCCAGCAAUGCCGCGUGAGUGAAGAAGGCCUUCGGGUUGUAAAGCUCUUUUGUCAGGGAAGAAACGGUGAAGGCUAAUAUCCUUUGCUAAUGACGGUACCUGAAGAAUAAGCACCGGCUAACUACGUGCCAGCAGCCGCGGUAAUACGUAGGGUGCAAGCGUUAAUCGGAAUUACUGGGCGUAAAGCGUGCGCAGGCGGUUUUGUAAGUCUGACGUGAAAUCCCCGGGCUCAACCUGGGAAUUGCGUUGGAGACUGCAAGGCUAGAAUCUGGCAGAGGGGGGUAGAAUUCCACGUGUAGCAGUGAAAUGCGUAGAGAUGUGGAGGAACACCGAUGGCGAAGGCAGCCCCCUGGGUCAAGAUUGACGCUCAUGCACGAAAGCGUGGGGAGCAAACAGGAUUAGAUACCCGGG
This 440-nucleotide ribosomal RNA is filed under the name uncultured Massilia sp. Its description in RNAcentral is "bacterial SSU rRNA". It matches the Rfam family "Bacterial small subunit ribosomal RNA", at positions 358 to 790 of the family's 1533-position model. Lineage: Bacteria; Pseudomonadati; Pseudomonadota; Betaproteobacteria; Burkholderiales; Oxalobacteraceae. The record is from RNAcentral.